This 253-nucleotide ribosomal RNA is filed under the name uncultured bacterium. RNAcentral's name for it is "partial 16S ribosomal RNA". It matches the Rfam family "Bacterial small subunit ribosomal RNA", at positions 524 to 776 of the family's 1533-position model. The record is from RNAcentral.
UACAGAGGGCUCAAGCGUUGUUCGGAUUCAUUGGGCGUAAAGGGUGCGUAGGUGGUGGGGUAAGUCGGGUGUGAAAUCCCGGGGCUCAACCCCGGAACUGCAUUCGAUACUGCCUUGCUCGAGUACUGGAGAGGAGACUGGAAUUUACGGUGUAGCAGUGAAAUGCGUAGAUAUCGUAAGGAAGACCAGUGGCGAAGGCGAGUCUCUGGACAGUUACUGACACUGAGGCACGAAGGCCAGGGGAGCAAACGGG